AUUAUGAUGUAGGCUUUCUUGGAUUCUGCCAAAGAAAUCUAAUUAUCCGAGAGACCAUUGCGUUCUCUGUUUUUAUCUACUCAGAGGUGCUUUAGCCAGAACCCUGACGAUCUCACAAAAGCAAGUCAAAUCCUGGAGGGUGAUUCGUUGCAUGCUUCCUGUGUAGCAGGCACUUGGCUAGACACCAGAACUCACAAGACAGCUGUGGUUCUUGUUUGGAGUUUGCUUCAGAAGACAGAUGGGAAUAAAGUUGCUGUACACUCAAAAGCAGAUGGAGACACUGGAUUCAUUCAGUCUCCCAGAUCUUGUGGAUUGAUGGCACUGAGACUGCUCAGUCUGCAUGGACCCUAUGUUCAUCCAUUCCCCAUGGUUCUCUUCACCAGCAUAGACCUACAAGAUCAGCCUUUCUAGAAGAGAUAUUCUCUUUUGUUGUAGGAAGAAGUAACACAAACAAAUACAUGGCUUAUCUCUUUGCAGUUAUUAAUGGGGCUUUUAAGAGACUGUCAAUUAAUAUGCUGCCUCCAAACAGGAGAAAAUCAGAAGUAAACAAGAUACAACAAAAACAAAUAAAAGAAAAAAAAAUCAGUGGGUUAAUAGGAAAGUUUUAGAAACUUCAUCACUGGUGAUUUAGAAGUACUGAAUAAAUUGAAGGGUUCAAGUUCAAUUUUUUUUUGUAAAAUUUGUCUUAUAGGUGCACACUUGUGCAAGACAAGUAUAAAUGGCUUGGGACUUAAUGAAAAGGUAAAUAAAUGAACAGCUCGCAACACCCCUAUAUAAUAAGGUUCAGUACCUACAAUUAUCUAUCAUUCUUUGAAACUUAAGGAAGUUUCUUUUGUGUUUUGUUUUGUUUUGAUCCAUACCACCUUGAACAUCACUGAAGGGAACAUGAUCAGAGGCACAGAACCCAUAGAGAGAGUGAAGUAUCAAGGAUACUGCCUGUUUUUCAGGCUCCAGGCAGAAAAUAAUUCAAUGGAUCAUUCACCUGGUUACUUGCUUUAAACCAUUGAACAUACAGGAAGAACAAGCCAGAAAUGGCUCCUGUACACAGGGACAUUUAAAAUCUGAUACAGGAGAGCUGUGGCCAAUGUCAGUAAGGGAUGAGUUAAUGUACAUGUAUGCCUAAAAAUGGACAUACAAUUAGUAAAAUUCAUUGAUAAUAUUGUUUGAGUUAAUUUGUUCUCUUUCAUUAAUCAAAAGGCUCAUCUGGGGAGUCAAGCCACCCAUUUGGUUGGGUGUGAAGGUGGAGUGUGCACUUGAAUUCCAUUCUGAGUAGGACACCUACACAGUUUUGGACUUGAACUUCAUCACAGCUCAAUACACUAUUGGUCCUUAAUUGGGUGGUUAUGACUAGUCAGCAAAGCUUUUGAGCUUCCUUAUAGAAGCAUAUUCUCCUCCUUAGCAUUUCCACACACAAAGAAAUCUGUACACCAGUGAGGCCUACCUAGUGAUCAGAUGACACUGGUUUGUCUGAGACCUUCUAGUUCUGGCUCUGAAAGUGUCCUGUCCCAGAAAACUGCUCAUUCACAGGAUCCUCAGAGGGGUGCUCACCUUCAACCUCGGCUCAGGUGGCUUUCACGCAACCUAGUUAGCACAGGCUGCUCCAUGAACUAUGGUAGUCUUCCCUGUUUUCCUACUUUAUAGGCAAUACUAUAUUUUAUAUGUUCUUUCUUACCUCUUAAUGCACUACUAGCACUAUAGUUUUCUUUCCCUAUUAUCUCCAAUUUCUUAAUCUAGAGAUCUUCCAGUAGCUUAAAUAGAUUUCAGCAAAACAUGCAUUUGAAAGUCCUUAAGUGAGAAAUAGGAAGGUGAUGCCUUACCAUCUCU
Molecule: non-coding RNA, 1824 nt
Organism: Oryctolagus cuniculus (rabbit)
Lineage: Eukaryota; Metazoa; Chordata; Mammalia; Lagomorpha; Leporidae
Source: RefSeq, a predicted model, not a curated record